Molecule: long non-coding RNA, 413 nt
Organism: Lotus japonicus
Lineage: Eukaryota; Viridiplantae; Streptophyta; Magnoliopsida; Fabales; Fabaceae
Exons: 3
Source: RefSeq, a predicted model, not a curated record
AGCUGGGGAAGAAUUGUACUUUACAGUUGGCUCUCAGCACAUACCUUUUGCUUCAUCCCCUCGGGAUGUGUGGACUGAGCUAGGACGUCCCUACAGUAUUGAGUGAUGGGUUUCUUGAUUCAGUAUCAAUGUCAGGUCUUGCAGGGGGUUUUGUUUCAUCUUCUUGGCCUGCACGGGAAAUUAUGGGUCUUGGCGCCGCCACGGCUUCCACCCUCAACGAAGCAGUGAAGGGUUAUAUAGCUCUGUGUACCUAAGCUAAUUAACUCUAACAACAACUGAAUCUGUUAGAGCGAUCUAACAGGUUCAGUUGUUACUAACUUGUAGGGUUAUAAAUCUUAGUAACUAUUGUUUUCCUUAUAACAUGAUAUCUUAUGAUCCCUUCAAUUAAAAACUUUUCACGUUUCCCUUCAAAA